UCUAGAAUUUUGCGUAAGUACUGCUGC
RNAcentral lists this non-coding RNA (27 nucleotides) under Bombyx mori (domestic silkworm). The record is from RNAcentral. Lineage: Eukaryota; Metazoa; Arthropoda; Insecta; Lepidoptera; Bombycidae.